RNAcentral lists this ribosomal RNA (431 nucleotides) under uncultured bacterium. Its description in RNAcentral is "partial 16S ribosomal RNA". It matches the Rfam family "Bacterial small subunit ribosomal RNA", at positions 29 to 507 of the family's 1533-position model. The record is from RNAcentral.
AACGAACGCUGGCGGCAGGCUUAACACAUGCAAGUCGAGCGCCCCGCCAGGGGAGCGGCAGACGGGUGAGUAACGCGUGGGAACGUACCUUUUGGUUCGGAACAACUCCGGGAAACUGGAGCUAAUACCGGAUAAGCCCUAACGGGGAAAGAUUUAUCGCCGAAAGAUCGGCCCGCGUCUGAUUAGCUAGUUGGUGAGGUAACGGCUCACCAAGGCGACGAUCAGUAGCUGGUCUGAGAGGAUGAUCAGCCACACUGGGACUGAGACACGGCCCAGACUCCUACGGGAGGCAGCAGUGGGGAAUAUUGGGCAAUGGGCGCAAGCCUGAUCCAGCCAUGCCGCGUGAGUGAUGAAGGCCUUAGGGUUGUAAAGCUCUUUUGUCCGGGAAGAUAAUGACUGUACCGGAAGAAUAAGCCCCGGCUAACUUCGUG